CUGGCCUUGCCCCAAAUUGCUGAGUGAUCUUGGACAAGUGGCUGACCCUCUCUGGACCCACAUCCACCAGAGACGACCAGGCCCCACCAGCAGCCCUUCCUCCCCCCCCACCCCCCACCCCCGUCUGGCGGUAUCGUUCCCACCCCACUCCACUCAGCUUCCUCUAGGCAGCUGUGAGCACAGCCUCCUCUUCCGAAAAUCCAACUUCCCUCCAGGAGAAAAGCCAGAUUCCACAGGGCCUCCCUGGGGGAGAAUAUGCUCUUCCGCUCUCUGCCUCUACUCCCCUAAACACCCAGGCAUCCUGCGUGGGACCAACUUCACUGUCGUUAUUUCUGGAAGGGGUAGACUUCCCGGCUAUUCUCCAUCCCUUGGAUGUGAAGAGUAGGUAGGUGUCCACCGUCACACCACUCUGCUUCGUUCAGUCCACACGGGCUUCCCCUUGCCUGGCUGGACAAAGAUCACAACCAAAACCACAGACAUGACAACCCUUACCUCCCGCCCCUGAAGCCCAGCUGUACUCAACAUCCACCUGCCAGUGGCCCCCCACAGACCCGGCAGCUCCUGGGCCUGGGCCAGGGCCUGCCGCCUCCAUGUCAUUGGUGAACACACUGAGCUCAGAGAGGGUAAGGGACUUACCCGAUGCUGCACAGCUGGUAGGUGGCAAUACACACACACACACACACACACACGCAAGCUCGUCACCAGGCCUCCGACCUACCAUUAUCAAUCCAUUCUUUGGCAUCUGGAAGAUUUCUCUCUGAAGAUGCAGAUUUCCCUGGAAAAGGCAUGAUGGCUGAUACUCUAAGGCAAAGAACUCCCUGAGCUCUCUAAUAGUCAAAUCCCCUUUACAACAACCUGACUCUGGGCUAGAGGGCCUGUACCUGCUUCCUCCAGGACUAGAGAGCUUACCUGCCUCUCCCAUCCCCUGUGAAGGGCACAGCAGUGUGGUGGCCUAGAAAAGGCUAAGCCCUACCAUCCGGGAGGCCAGGGGACAGAUCCCGGCCCCGCCACGUAGCUGUCCUGGGCUUGGAGAUGGGCCACUCUGCUUCU
RNAcentral lists this long non-coding RNA (1050 nucleotides) under Canis lupus familiaris (dog). RNAcentral's name for it is "lncRNA (ENSCAFG00845007212.1)". Lineage: Eukaryota; Metazoa; Chordata; Mammalia; Carnivora; Canidae. The record is from RNAcentral.